GCUUAUCACAAAAAUAUAGUUUAUUCCAAUUUCAAAUCACUACCCCCCAAAAAAAUAAUUUUAAAACAAUUACUCAUCUUUUCCUAUGAUAGAUAAAAUAAGCCUGACAAAAUUAAAGGGGCCUUUCAUGCUACCCAGAAAGGAGUCCAUACGGCGUUUUCUGGGUUACUGUCUUAACUUAAAGGGAAACUUGCACAACGUCCAGAGCCUUUGAUGUCCCACAAAUGAAGGACGAGGGUAUCCUCAAAUUCUUGGCAAGAGGAACCCACUUAGGCAGCACCAACCUUGAUUUCCAAAUGGAACAGUCAUCUACUAAGGAAAAAGUGGUGGCAUUACCUCAAAUAUCUGAAGAGAACCUGGGAGAAGCUUCUGUUGGCAUCUUGUGCCAUUGUCUCCACUGAAAAUCUGGCUGACAUCAGUGUCACAUCCUCCAGAAUACUGGCCAGUGAGUUGUGCUGAAGUUCACUGCUGCUGUCAUUGGAGCCACUACUACUGUUGGCCACAGCACUCCUGGAAGCUUCCCUGAUGGGAUCCAGGCAGCUCCGGCAGCCGUGUCUUCCGGGAGUCGUGUCUUCCGGGAGUACUGAUCCCACGGCUGACCGCCAGCUUCGCACAGGGGCACCUUAUGUUAACCUGCCCACCAUCUCAGUGUGUAACACAGACACUGCUCAGUGCUACGCGGGUAUUGUCAUCCCGGGCCACAACCGGGGAGCUCGCUCAGUUAGGUGUGAAGUAGGGGUUGCUGGCUAGGGAAGUUCUGCGCAUGCGCAGCUCCAUGUCCCGUGAGCAUUCGGGAGAGGUCAUGCGUGAUCUCCUUCUACAGAGCUCCCGAAGAGAGGAAAAGGAAGAGUAGGCUGCUGCUGAAAAGGCUGCCACCAAGGAGGAAUUCCAGAGUGAAUGGACCCCUCCGGCUCCCAAGUUCACUGCUUCUUAACCUGAGGUCGCAGCCGGGUCAGGUGGCACGUAGGUGCCCUCUGUGUCUAUUCAGCGGUUGCCUCCUGCGGACCGGAUGGAGCCUCAGCCUGUCACUGAGGACUGGUCUGCAGCUCCUACUGCUCGGGCCUUUCUGGAGUAAAUGAACAUUUAGACAUGGCGAAGCAACUGUAUUUGAAGAAAAGAAGAAAAGUGAAGGCAAUACUUGGCAUAAGGAGAGGAAGAAUGAGAAGGAUGUCCAAAGAAGGAGCCAGAAAGGAAAGAGGAGAAGAAAGGCAAGAAAAUCAUGCCAAUAACUCUCCACAAAGGAAACGAUUUCAGAUGAAUACAGACCAAAUCAAUAGUGGGAAGAAUCGAGUCAAGACAGAUGUCAUAACUGUAUUAAAGGUCAAUGAGGUUUAAACAAAUUGGACUCUACUCAUAAAUAAUUGACUCACCAUUUAUACCAAGGUACAGAUAAACCAUGGUGUAGAAAUCAUGCCUCUCUGGAUAGAAUGGAUGUUACUGCUCCUCCAGCCAGAUCGAACCUCCUAUUUCACAGAGAAAAUAAAACCAUCUGUUCGGACAGCCCUCAACUACUGUACCUUGAAACCUAAGAUGUUGUUAAAUCUUCAGCUUUUCAAAAAAAAAAAAAUACUAUUGCUUCCUAUACACAGGAUCCUGAGGAUACAGAGAAGAAUAAGAUAUAUACCCUGUCCUGGAGUAUCUAACAGUUUAUACAGGAAGAAAAAAUGAUAACCUUGGAGUCAAGAAGACCUGUCCCUGUCUCUUGUCAGUUUUAUGGUUUUGAACAGGCUACUUAUCUUCUCUAAUUUUUCUGAUCUGAAAUGAUAGUACUUCCCCCACAGGGCAGCAAAGGACUCUUUUCUGGUGCUUAGCAUGUAUAGGUAGUUGUUAAAUGAGAUCUAUCAACUUGAAUGUAUAUAGGGUUUAUUAGGAAAUAGAAGAAAAAAAUGAAACCUGCAAAGUAGGCAGGAAAAUCUCAAAGGGACUUUGUAUUUUGUAUGUUUGUAUUUUUAGAAAAAUCACCUUGGUUUCAAUGUGGCAGGUAUUUCAUAAGGAGACUAAUAGAAUAAAGAAAGACAGGGCCUGAAUUGUGGCGGGAGCAUUUUUCUGAGAGUGACAAAUGGGACAUGGUGAUGGGCUAUGGAGAAAGAAUGUGUGAUAGUGCCAUUUUCCAAGAAAGGAAGCAGACCUAAAGGGUCAUAGGAAUGAGCUUAAUUUUUGAAAAGUUGUGUUUGAGAUGCCUUCAGAUUCCAAGAUGGGCAUCAGCGGUAUACAAGUGGAUACAUGGCUCUGGACCCCCAAGUUCAGACAAGAGAUGUUAUUAUACAUUGGGCAAGCCUGAAAUAAGCAUUACUCUUCAAGAAAGAACCAAAGGGGGAUUAGUCAUUUGUGGAAAUGAGAAAAUCCAAGAUCGUACUGGUGAAUGUAAACCUGGGGAAUUAUAGAAAUAGCUCAAAUCCAAUUCAGGUCAUCUGGAUAUAAAUGUAAGUCUCCUUGGGGAAGCAAAUAGGGAUUUUGAUUGCAAGUGAG
Equus caballus (horse) is the source of this 2469-nucleotide long non-coding RNA. Lineage: Eukaryota; Metazoa; Chordata; Mammalia; Perissodactyla; Equidae. The record is from Ensembl.